RNAcentral lists this ribosomal RNA (500 nucleotides) under uncultured bacterium. RNAcentral's name for it is "bacterial SSU rRNA". It matches the Rfam family "Bacterial small subunit ribosomal RNA", at positions 24 to 518 of the family's 1533-position model. The record is from RNAcentral.
UCAGGAUGAACGCUAGCGACAGGCUAACACAUGCAAGUCGAGGGGCAGCAUAAAAGUAGCAAUACUUGGUGGCGACCGGCGCACGGGUGAGUAACGCGUAUGCAACCUACCUAUCAGAGGGGAAUAACCCGGCGAAAGUCGGACUAAUACCGCAGUAAAACAGGGACACCGCAUGGUGAUAUUUGUUAAAGAAAUUCGCUGAUAGAUGGGCAUGCGUUCCAUUAGGUAGUGGUGAGGUAACGGCUCACCAAGCCGACGAUGGAUAGGGGAACUGAGAGGUUGGUCCCCCACACUGGUACUGAGACACGGACCAGACUCCUACGGGAGGCAGCAGUGAGGAAUAUUGGUCAAUGGGCGAGAGCCUGAACCAGCCAAGUCGCGUGAAGGAAGAAGGAUCUAUGGUUCGUAAACUUCUUUUGCAGGGGAAUAAAGUGCAGGACGUGUCCUGUUUUGUAUGUACCCUGAGAAUAAGGAUCGGCUAACUCCGUGCCAGCCGCCGC